AACCGGAGAUCGUACGCCAAUGGAGCCAUCAAUGGCAGCAUUAAUGGGAUGCGUCCGGCCAAGUCGCUGGCCCAGCUGUGUGAUCUGACACCCAAGAAGGCGCCCUCAUCGCGAGACCUCAUUACCCAGUGAGAGCCUGAUCAAGAAAAAUGCAAAGCCAGGACGGUUAUCAAGGCGGCCAUAUCGCUGCUUGUAAAGAAGUGUGACCGCUUUGACUUUUAGCUGGUUGCCUGCAGCCAUGUGCAACAGCGACGAUCAGUGACGAUGUGCAGCAUUGACUAUCGAUUGCUGAAUAACCAUACGCAGCUUUGACCAUCGAUUUCUGGCGUGGAACCAUGUGCAGCUUUGACAUCCAACGUUUUAGGUUAUGGUCAAUGGACUCAGAAGCAGACACAGGUUUAGGAUAAGCUGGAUCAUGUCCAGGGCGUGCUAGUCACAGCCCGGCUGGCGGCAGUGCAGACCACUACUCUCCUGCUGCCCAUUGAUGAGCUCUCCAAUACACCCUCGAUGGCCUCUAGCGUGAACAGCGCUAAGGUGAAGUUCCUCGAUGAUUCGCAUUCGGAUGACUCUGGCAACUCGGCCUCCUCCCAGAGCAACAACAACGUCCAAGCCAAGCAGCAGCAGCCGCUCAA
This is a long non-coding RNA of Drosophila serrata, 632 nucleotides long. Lineage: Eukaryota; Metazoa; Arthropoda; Insecta; Diptera; Drosophilidae. The record is from RefSeq and is a predicted model, not a curated record.